GUGGGGAAUCUUGCGCAAUGGGGGAAACCCUGACGCAGCAACGCCGCGUGGGUGAUGAAGGCCUUCGGGUCGUAAAGCCCUGUCAGGUGGGAAGAAACAUGUUGAUGCCAAUACCAUCAGCACUUGACGGUACCACCGGAGGAAGCACCGGCUAACUCCGUGCCAGCAGCCGCGGUAAUACGGAGGGUGCAAGCGUUGUUCGGAAUUAUUGGGCGUAAAGCGCGUGUAGGCGGUCAUGUAAGUCAGAUGUGAAAGCCUUCCGCUUAACGGGAGAAGUGCAUUUGAAACUGCAUGACUGGAGUACGGGAGAGGAGAGUGGAAUUCCCGGUGUAGAGGUGAAAUUCGUAGAUAUCGGGAGGAACACCAGUGGCGAAGGCGGCUCUCUGGCCUGAUACUGACGCUGAGACGCGAAAGCGUGGGGAGCAAACAGGAUUAGAUACCCGUGUAGUCC
RNAcentral lists this ribosomal RNA (451 nucleotides) under uncultured bacterium. RNAcentral's name for it is "bacterial SSU rRNA". It matches the Rfam family "Bacterial small subunit ribosomal RNA", at positions 354 to 796 of the family's 1533-position model. The record is from RNAcentral.